Long non-coding RNA from Micropterus salmoides (largemouth bass), 2961 nucleotides. RefSeq lists it as uncharacterized. Lineage: Eukaryota; Metazoa; Chordata; Actinopteri; Centrarchiformes; Centrarchidae. The transcript is spliced from 4 exons. The record is from RefSeq and is a predicted model, not a curated record.
GGUUUACACAAUAUCACAUAUAUGAACUAGACCUAAUUAAAACCCACUAACAAAGUUUUUAAACAAACAACUGAAGCAGAUACAAAGGGAAAUUUAUAACUGUUCAUUUUAACUGUCUUUUUAUUUUGGAUUCAAAUCAAGACAAGAUGGAUGUCAAACAGAUCAUAUCAAUUGUUCUGAUUGUCCUGAUAGGACAUUUCUUCAUGCAGAUACCGGACAAAUAAUGGCAGGCUGUGCGAUUUAUUGGAGAGAGAGAGAACCUCCAGGAAGCCUGUGCUCCAGUUGGAGCCAGAUGAGCUGAUGGCAGCAUCAUUCCAGAAGUACCAGAGUCCGGCUCUACAGAAGUCCCAGCUUCCAAUGUGGCCCUGCCAGCUCCUGCAGCUUACUGCUUGGCUCAGCCUUUUGUUUUUACUUUUACUUUAUUGUGAGAGAUGCAUCUGUUUACCACAGGUGCAUUCGAUCAGCUCUGAGCCCUCAGAGUUUGCAUCAUCAAAAUUAACGAUACCACCUAGUUGUUUCAUUGUUACUCUGUGCAGGUCAUUUUUUGUUCCAUCACUAAGACACUUUCUAAAACAGAGCAGCAAACAAGCCAAAAGUAAACAGAAGGAGAGAAGGCCUUUCCACGUCAGUCCACGCCAUCAGAUACAGACGUCCAGCCCACUCAGGAUGCAUCACAAGUCUCUGCAGCUCUCUGGCUCCAGAUGGGACAAAUGAUCCACACUAUGACUUUUGAAGGAAAAUAAAGGAAUAAUAAAUGUUGCAGGUAGUUAAUGUAAAAUAUAAAAUUAACUAUAAAAGAUGCCUCAGUUUGGUUGACUGUACUAUUAUGUCACAUACGUCAGAGACACUGGAACAAUACAGCAACACCUCAAAAUAUAGAUGUUUUUAAGACAGACAACAUGAUAUUAGCUUUCAAAUGUCUAGUAGCCAAGACUAAUGUUAGUACUUACAGUUUAGGCUGUGUGUAGCAGACAUGGAGGUAUCAUGAACUCAAGAACCGAUCACUGAAAGAAAUAAACAUCAAUAUAUAAAUUAAUAUAAAAGUACCUUCAUCUCUCAGCAGUUAUAUUCAAGACAAUAAUCUCGCACAGCCCUGUCAACAGCAGCAAUGUUACUAAAAAUUGUGGUGAGGGUAAUUACCAAAAUACAUAACGUAAUCCGUUAAUACUCUUAACUAGAGCGGCAAUAACAGCCAUGGCUAACGUUUUACAGCUAUAUAGCUACCUUCAAAUAUAACUAAGGAAUGUACCGCUAGCUAAUUUAGUUCAUGACAACAUAUAAUCAAGUGACAUCCAAAUAAACGACUCGUAACUAACGUUAUAGUUAUGUAUAAGGAUUAAUUUUUGCUUCAAAUUGUUUGAGAUAUAACAUUAUUAAUAAUUGAUUCAUAGUAACUGUUAACAUCUCAACGAAAUAGUGUUGCAAAUUAUAUUUUAAAAUUUGUUGAAGAAUAUUAAACCUUGUGUAGUAUAAUGUCAAUAACAGAGAAAUAAAUGUUUAGUUUCAGGUACCUCGAGUGUAACCAUUCAGCCACCGGGGGUUUAGCUGAGAAGCUACUGCUGCUAAAGCAGAGCAGCAUAUGGCAUUAGCUCCUUAGCCUGAGCUUACUCGGCCAUGUUGAGCUUGGCGGGUGUGGUUUCAGCAACGCGUCACCUUAACUCCAUGCACGACCUGCCUCUUUGCACCAUUUUUGGUUAUCCGGGAGUGAUGCGCUGGCCAGAUGGCGACGGCCAACUCUGCCCACUUUGGGCUUCAAAACAUGGGCGAGUUCAGCGCCAACAAAACAUAGCAAAAUGUUUUUUUCAAUGGAAAUGGUGGUGCCUCUAACACCCUGUUGUGUAUGCAAGAGCACUGUAUAUUCCUUCCUUUUUACACCGUUGCAUUUACAAACUUUUCGCAACUGAUUGGGUAACACCUGUGACACGCCCACCAAAGACUAAAAAACUCAGAGCCCCUUGUGUGGAUGUUGCAUGGAAACAUGUUGUUCAAUCCGAAAACAUUGCAAACCGUUGCAAAACGUUUUGAGAUUGAACUCGCCCCCAGUACCCACCGCAGUGUGUAUAAAGUUCUGCAGCCAAACAUAUGAAAAGCCAAGACAAUAAUCAUGGUUAAUAAUAAGUGUGAUCAGCAUAUGCCAUCCUCCAGACAUCAUCACCACCUAAAUUGGGAGAUCAAACCUAACCAAGUAUUUGGGAAUGUUCCCCUCAAAAACUAUGUAUCAAACAGAGAUUGUUUUCCUUCAUUCUAGUUAAUUGAUGGGGUAUAUUUAAGUAGAAAUGUAAGGGCAUAUGUUUUAUUUGAACAGGGAAGGGGACAGUUUUUAAGAGGGGACCUGGGGGAACUCCCCAUGAAAAUGCUGAGCUUUAAACACCUAGGGCCGGAUUUGUUAACAUCGCGAAUAAAGAGUACUAAAUUGGGUGCAAACAGAAUGUAGGUGUCAGUAUUUAAAUGAGGGUUUUGUGUGUGUUUUAAUGGUUACUGCCAUGGAGAGUCGGGAGGGAAAGCAGCCACUGAGUAAAAACCUGUGUUUCAGUCAGUGUGUAUGUGGAAAUCAUAUGUACCUGCCCAUCCUGCCUAAGAUUGCACUAAGUACUUGGGACAGCAAACCUGAAAAACUGCUUUGGGAAACCCCAAACAGAAACAGAUACAGUAUGCUGGAAUGAACCAGACGAGAGGAAAUGCCAGUAGAUCGUGCUUCAUCUAGCCAGAGGGAACAAUCACCGACCGUCCGCACCGUGCACGGUCACUCCGGGAUCUCCUGUCCCUGUACACCCCAACGCCCCAUUCCCUCUCCGAUACCGACAAGGGGUUGUGUCGCUAUUAUGACCAGCGCACUGUGAUCAGUUGAUGAUCGUUCCCUCUGGCUUGAUGAGUUUUAUGCCUGAUCCAUGCAGCUGGGGGCUCUCUGCUGCGCCACGCAACUUUCUAAAUUCUUCCAUCUCACGGAGAGAAGAAGUCAGG